UAGGGAAUCUUCGGCAAUGGACGAAAGUCUGACCGAGCAACGCCGCGUGAGUGAAGAAGGCUUUCGGAUCGUAAAACUCUGUUGUUAGAGAAGAACAAGGACGUUAGUAACUGAACGUCCCCUGACGGUAUCUAACCAGAAAGCCACGGCUAACUACGUGCCCGCAGCCGCGGUAAUACGUAGGUGGCAAGCGUUGUCCGGAUUUAUUGGGCGUAAAGCGAGCGCAGGCGGUUUCUUAAGUCUGAUGUGAAAGCCCCCGGCUCAACCGGGGAGGGUCAUUGGAAACUGGGAGACUUGAGUGCAGAAGAGGAGAGUGGAAUUCCAUGUGUAGCGGUGAAAUGCGUAGAUAUAUGGAGGAACACCAGUGGCGAAGGCGGCUCUCUGGUCUGUAACUGACGCUGAGGCUCGAAAGCGUGGGGAGCAAACAGG
This 429-nucleotide ribosomal RNA is filed under the name Gemmatimonadota bacterium. Its description in RNAcentral is "Gemmatimonadetes bacterium partial 16S ribosomal RNA". It matches the Rfam family "Bacterial small subunit ribosomal RNA", at positions 355 to 776 of the family's 1533-position model. The record is from RNAcentral. Lineage: Bacteria; Pseudomonadati; Gemmatimonadota.